This 119-nucleotide ribosomal RNA is filed under the name Pteropus alecto (black flying fox). Lineage: Eukaryota; Metazoa; Chordata; Mammalia; Chiroptera; Pteropodidae. The record is from RNAcentral.
GUCUACGGCCACGCCACCCUGAACGUGACUGAUCUCGUCUGAUCUUGGAAGCUAAGCAGGGUCGGGCCUGGUUAGUACUUGGAUAGGAGACUACCUAGGAAGACCAGGUGCUAUAGGUG